RNAcentral lists this non-coding RNA (180 nucleotides) under Nitrospirae bacterium CG2_30_70_394. RNAcentral describes it as "6S RNA". It matches the Rfam family "6S / SsrS RNA". From Rfam's summary of the family: E. coli 6S RNA was the first non coding RNA to be sequenced, but its function was unknown until recently. Lineage: Bacteria; Pseudomonadati; Nitrospirota. The record is from RNAcentral. RNAcentral also lists the same sequence under 6 other names.
AAUGCCCUGCCUUACGCGUGAUGGGAAGCUUUUCUCUGAACCAACACGAUCUUCGAGGGACGACGAUCUGAGGACGGUGUGCAUGCUCUCCCCGCGGAGAGAAGCCUAAACUCCCAGCCCACUCCCGACCUGUUCAUGACAGGUUCAAGAAGACAACCCACACGGUAAGGCGGGGUUCCU